UACGUAGGGGGCAAGCGUUGUCCGGAUUUAUUGGGCGUAAAGAGCGUGUAGGCGGCUAGGUAGGUCCGUUGUGAAAACUCGAGGCUCAACCUCGAGACGUCGAUGGAAACCAUCUAGCUAGAGUCCGGAAGAGGAGAGUGGAAUUCCUGGUGUAGCGGUGAAAUGCGCAGAUAUCAGGAAGAACACCCGUGGCGAAGGCGGCACUCUGGGACGGUACUGACGCUGAAGAUGCGAAAAGCGU
Molecule: ribosomal RNA, 241 nt
Filed under: uncultured bacterium
Lineage: Bacteria
Description: partial 16S ribosomal RNA
Rfam family: Bacterial small subunit ribosomal RNA
Source: RNAcentral